RNAcentral lists this long non-coding RNA (595 nucleotides) under Capsicum annuum. Its description in RNAcentral is "long non-coding RNA (CANN_LNC007275)". The record is from RNAcentral. Lineage: Eukaryota; Viridiplantae; Streptophyta; Magnoliopsida; Solanales; Solanaceae.
UUGUUUUAAAGAAAAUCCUUCCACGUUUAUUUCUAUGGCAAUGGUAAAGCGGUCGGAGCAUCAUCGGAAAAAAAAAGUGGAAGGAAGAGGGAUCGACGGGAAAGGAGAUAAGGGAACGACGGCGGCGAUGGUUGUGCGUCACUGUCCAUGACUUUGCCAUUAAUGGCGUCGCCGGCGACGGUUGGGAUUGGGCAAUGCAUUAUUUUUUAGAUUUUUUGGCGAAAUAGCCGCUGGAAUAAGGUCAGCAGUGGCAAAAGAGGUCCGAUCUAGUGAAAUUUGAAGUUUCUCGAUGAAUUUUCAAUGGUUUUCCGAUGAGUUUUUGGUGGAUCUCGCUGGAAACGGAGCGAGAUAUGGAGCGUCGGCACGGCUGGUUAGCCGGAGAAGGCGGUGACAUCAUGUAUGGUGUUCCGUUUACUAGUUUUUCAAUUUUUGGGCGAUUCCGGCUGACAAUUUCGUCGGAAAAAAUCUAUAUAUUUUAUUAUUAUAUGAUUCUCCGAUCCUAUGUUACUCUCAAUGUAUUACUACUUCUUCUUCUUUUUAUUUUUUUUGUUAUUUUCUCAUCUCUGAUCUUUCACUGUGUGCGCAGAUGUGUACA